AACGAACGCUGGCGGCAUGCCUAACACAUGCAAGUCGAACGAGACCUUCGGGUCUAGUGGCGCACGGGUGCGUAACGCGUGGGAAUCUACCCUUGGGUUCGGAAUAACAGUUAGAAAUGACUGCUAAUACCGGAUGAUGACGUAAGUCCAAAGAUUUAUCGCCCAAGGAUGAGCCCGCGUAAGAUUAGCUUGUUGGUGGGGUAAUGGCCUACCAAGGCGACGAUCUUUAGCUGGUCUGAGAGGAUGAUCAGCCACACUGGGACUGAGACACGGCCCAGACUCCUACGGGAGGCAGCAAUGGGGAAUAUUGGACAAUGGGCGAAAGCCUGAUCCAGCAAUGCCGCGUGAGUGAUGAAGGCCUUAGGGUUGUAAAGCUCUUUUACCAGGGAUGAUAAUGACAGUACCUGGAGAAUAAGCUCCGGCUAACUCCGUGCCAGCAGCCGCGGUAA
RNAcentral lists this ribosomal RNA (449 nucleotides) under uncultured bacterium. RNAcentral's name for it is "partial 16S ribosomal RNA". It matches the Rfam family "Bacterial small subunit ribosomal RNA", at positions 29 to 523 of the family's 1533-position model. The record is from RNAcentral.